This 224-nucleotide unclassified non-coding RNA is filed under the name Hevea brasiliensis (rubber tree). The record is from RNAcentral. Lineage: Eukaryota; Viridiplantae; Streptophyta; Magnoliopsida; Malpighiales; Euphorbiaceae.
UACUAAGUUAAGAUCAUAAUUCACCUCUAAUAGAUCUCAACAACACAACAAAUUCCCCUAAAAAAAAUUCUAAUAUGAAGAAUCAGAUUUAUAUUUGGGAGCUUAUAACACAAAAAGCUACUGAAGACAGAGAGUCAUAGAUAUAAGCAUAGAAUAUGGCAAAAGAAGUGAAGUAAUUAACUAAGCAAAAAGCGAUCUACCUGAAAAGAAGAUCGAAGAGACAG